RNAcentral lists this ribosomal RNA (482 nucleotides) under uncultured bacterium. Its description in RNAcentral is "bacterial SSU rRNA". It matches the Rfam family "Bacterial small subunit ribosomal RNA", at positions 29 to 506 of the family's 1533-position model. The record is from RNAcentral.
UUGAACGCUGGCGGAAUGCUUUACACAUGCAAGUCGAGCGGCAGCGCGGGGGCAACCCUGGCGGCGAGCGGCGAACGGGUGAGUAACAUAUCGGAACGUACCCCGUCGUGGGGGAUAACACAGCGAAAGCUGUGCUAAUACCGCAUACGACCUGAGGGUGAAAGCGGGGGAUCGCAAGACCUUGCGCGAUUAGAGCGGCCGAUGUCGGAUUAGCUAGUUGGUGGGGUAAAGGCCUACCAAGGCAACGAUCCGUAGCUGGUCUGAGAGGAUGAUCAGCCACACUGGGACUGAGACACGGCCCAGACUCCUACGGGAGGCAGCAGUGGGGAAUUUUGGACAAUGGGCGCAAGCCUGAUCCAGCCAUUCCGCGUGAGUGAAGAAGGCCUUCGGGUUGUAAAGCUCUUUCGGCAGGGAAGAAACGGCAGGCUCUAACAUAGCCUGCUAAUGACGGUACCUGAAGAAGAAGCACCGGCUAACUACGU